This 253-nucleotide ribosomal RNA is filed under the name uncultured bacterium. RNAcentral describes it as "partial 16S ribosomal RNA". It matches the Rfam family "Bacterial small subunit ribosomal RNA", at positions 524 to 776 of the family's 1533-position model. The record is from RNAcentral.
UACGAGUGCUUCAAGCGUUAUCCGGAAUCAUUGGGCGUAAAGGGUGCGUAGGCGGCGAUGUUAGUCUCGCGUUAAAUUCUCCGGCUCAACCGGGGAGCUGCGUGGGAAACGGCAUUGCUCGAGGACGGAAGGGGUCUCUGGAACUCAUGGUGUAGCGGUGAAAUGCGUUGAUAUCAUGGGGAACACCGAAAGCGAAGGCAAGAGACUGGUCCGCUCCUGACGCUGAAGCACGAAAGCGUGGGUCGCGAAUGGG